GCUGGAGGUGAAAGUCUGGCCUGGCAGCCUUCCCCAGGUGAGCAGCAACAAGGUGAGAGAAUGCAGAGCUGCAGGCCACGUGGUGCUGGGUCUCAGUCCUCCACUUCCCGUGUCCUCUGGAAGUUGUCGGGAGCAAUGUUCCGCUUCUACGUGUUGGUUAUGGGAGUUUCUGCCUUCACCCUUCAGCCUGUGGUACACACAGGGGCUGCCAGAAGCUGCCGGUUUCGUGGGCGGCAUUACAAGCGGGAGUUCAGGCUGGAAGGGGAGCCUGUGGCCCUGAGGUGCCCCCAGGUGCCCUACUGGUUGUGGGCCUCUGUCAGCCCCCGCAUCAACCUGACAUGGCAUAAAAAUGACUCUGCUAGGACGGUCCCAGGAGAAGAAGAGACACGGAUGUGGGCCCAGGACGGUGCUCUGUGGCUUCUGCCAGCCUUGCAGGAGGACUCUGGCACCUACGUCUGCACUACUAGGUAAGCCUCCCCGUGCGGGGCUGGGGAGGGGAUCCUGGCAGGAUGGAGGCUUGUGAGGGUCUUUAGUCAUGAUCUGGAUCUCAGAAUCCAGUGUACAAAAUACAAAUCCAGUGAAUCCACAUUGCAUCCAGCUUGCUGUUCC
Molecule: small RNA, 609 nt
Filed under: Pongo abelii (Sumatran orangutan)
Lineage: Eukaryota; Metazoa; Chordata; Mammalia; Primates; Hominidae
Description: processed transcript
Source: RNAcentral